UGCUUUAGAGACUGGCUGUUCU
This 22-nucleotide microRNA is filed under the name Oreochromis niloticus (Nile tilapia). RNAcentral describes it as "oni-miR-10616b". Lineage: Eukaryota; Metazoa; Chordata; Actinopteri; Cichliformes; Cichlidae. The record is from miRBase by way of RNAcentral.